RNAcentral lists this ribosomal RNA (582 nucleotides) under uncultured bacterium. RNAcentral describes it as "bacterial SSU rRNA". It matches the Rfam family "Bacterial small subunit ribosomal RNA", at positions 53 to 677 of the family's 1533-position model. The record is from RNAcentral.
ACAUGCUCGUCGAGGGGGUUUAGACCCCCGGCGAACGGUCGAGUAAUACCUGGAGACUUCCAUUUAUUUUGGGAUAUCCUCCCGAAAGGGAGAGCAAUACCAAAUGUGAUCGCAAGAUGAAAGCCGCAAGGCGCUAAAUAAAAGGCCCGGGUCCCAUCAGCUAGUUGGUAGGGUAAAGGCCUACCAAGGCUAUGACGGGUAGCAAAAGCGAGAGCUUGAUCCGCCACACUGGGACUGCGACACGGCCCAGACUCCUACGGGAGGCAGCAGUUUGGAAUUUUGGACAAUGGGCGAAAGCCUGAUCCAUCGACGCCGCGUGCACGAAUAAUGCCUUCUGGUUGUAAAGUGCUUUUGCUUGGGAAAAAUUUUUGAUUGUACCAAGAGAAUAAGAGGUUGCUAACUCUGUGCCAGCAGCGACGGUAAUACAGAGACCUCAAGCGUUAUCCGGAAUCAUUGGGCGUAAAGCGUACCGAUAGGUGGUCAUGGUAGCUUUGGGUAAAAGCCAGAAGGCUCAACUUCUGCGUUUGCUCAAAAUACUCCACGACUAGAGGGGCAAAUAGACAGCUGGAACCCAAUGGUGUA